AACGGUAGUGCGAACCUUUCC
Molecule: unclassified non-coding RNA, 21 nt
Filed under: Dictyostelium discoideum
Lineage: Eukaryota; Evosea; Eumycetozoa; Dictyosteliales; Dictyosteliaceae
Source: RNAcentral